Molecule: long non-coding RNA, 2679 nt
Organism: Eucalyptus grandis
Lineage: Eukaryota; Viridiplantae; Streptophyta; Magnoliopsida; Myrtales; Myrtaceae
Product: copper-transporting ATPase PAA1, chloroplastic
Exons: 5
Source: RefSeq, a predicted model, not a curated record
GGCAGGAGACCCACCACAACCCAAUCUCGCACGGACCCUAGAAAGGGAGGCGUCUCCGAUGGGUGAUCUUGGCAACACAGGCGCUGUUCCUUUGUGUGUAUCCGGUAUUCAUUCACACGAUUCUCGCUAUUAUAUCAGUGCUUGUGUUUUCAGGUCACCCCUUUGAGAUGAUCACACUCUUUCCCUUCCACACAUCAUUAAUGACCCUUCCAAAUUAAUCGGUAUGGCUUCUUUGUCUCGUUGAGAUAAGGUGACUCGCUUUAAGGGUUCAACGUGGCGAUUGAGGUGCUUUGGAAAUUCAUUUUCAUGGUUAUACUUAGCUUCUUUUUCCAUAUUUGUAAUAAGAAUCUCUGUGCCAAUUUUUUGUGGCCAUUAUUUCUAGGGAAGUAUACUACAAUUAUGUAAAACUACUGAUCGUUGCUUUAGCUGCUUCCUCUGGUCACGACGAGUUGAGAUUAAAGUGCUCGUUAGUGAUUCACCCCAGUAGAGCAUGAGUGAGGUCAUAAAAACCUCUUGGACUAGAGGUGGUGUAGAAGAAGUAAAGUCUCUCCAAUUCCUCUUCACAGUUUGGAUGAUCUUGCACAGGUUGACAGUUUGAUGUGGUGCAAUUUUAUGCCAAAAACUCAAGGUACAAGUGCUUAAUAUGAAGAAAAUUAUUCAAUUGAUAUAGUAGCACUUAAUCCAAAGUUAUAAUGUACAUAUCUUCUAGCAGUUGAGUAAGAUGCAUGCAAACUUAUAAUACACUCAUAGCCCACGAUUCAAAGUUCUAUAAGAUCAAAAAUAUUUUGUGCACGUUGUUCGGAAGCUAUAAGAUGCCCUAAGGAGGUUUGACGGAUCACUAAGCACGCGCAAAGGCUUCCCAAAUCCUACUAAUUUCAACUUGAUUUUCUCAUUUGAUUAUUGAAUUUGAUUUACUCUAGAGUAGCUGAUAACCUUUUUUGGGCUGGUUAAUAGCUUUGGAGUCCAUCUUACUCUUUUAAACACAAAUUUUCACAAAUUUUAGUAUUUGAUUAUGCUAGAUUAAUCUAAUACCUUGUUGCUAGCUUUUUCCUUUUACGUAAGACGUUUUUCAAUGUGGUAUUUCCAUUUUACUCCUUAACAUGGAUCUAGAUGUCCAUGCACAAAUACUCAAGCAGAUUAAUCAAUAAUAAAGCAUAUAAAGUAUGGAAAGCAAAAUUGCCCGAGCCAUAUCGGGCAAAAUUAAUACAAUACCUCGUUAAUACACCCUGGAAAACACUCCCGAGAGUGGUAAAUGAAUGUAUAAUCAAUGAGGAAUCCAAACCAUGGAUGUCUUAAGUUGACUGUAGAGCCCCCACAAAUACUCAACCCCUUCGUCUUCCGCCUCAACCGCUACGUCUCCCGGUCGCUGCAUCGCCGAUGUCUCCCGUCUUGGCUCAUCGCCCACGGGCUCCGCUGCAUCUACGCCGAUCGCAUCCGCAGCCCGAGCCUCGCUGAGCCGUCUCUGUCUCCCCCGGCUCCCGCGAGGUUCCGCUUGCGGUGCGUUCCGAGCUCCGCUGCUCCUCUCGGCCCAUUCGGCGGACGCGGCGGCGGCGGCGGCGGCGGCGGCGGUAGCAGCGGCGGGGGAGGCGGAGUCGACGGUGAGGAUUGGAAGGUGAAAUCGGUGGUGGAUGGAGCCGAGGAAGCCUCCGGUGUCUCCUCUGAUGUGAUAAUUCUCGACGUCGGAUGUGCGGCCACUUGAGUGGCUCUGUUUCGUCUCUGCAGGGAAUGACUUGUGGGGGAUGUGCAGCGGGUAUGGAGAGAAUUUUGGAAAAUCAACAUUGGACAGCCUCAAGUAUCUGUUGCCAGCGUAAAUCUUACAACUGGGACAUCUAUUGUAUGGCCUGUAUCUGAAGCCAAGGCUAUGCCUAAUUGGCAAAAAGAGUUGGGAGAAACACUAGCAAAACACUUGACAAAUUGUGGCUUUAAGUCUAACCCUUGAGAUUUUCUGUGUCGAAGACUCCAUCUACUAGUUGGAAGUACGAGUUUUUAUAUCUGUAAUUUUCCCUGUCAUAUAAUACAAACUAACUCCGAGAAGAAUAUUUUUAAUGCUGGGGAUGGUUGACAAGUUCCCUGAAUGCUCUCAUGGAUUUGGUUUUGUGACUUUUGAUGAGAAGCAAGCAAUGGAUGAGGCUAUUGAGGCUAUGAAUGGGAUGGAAUUGGAUGUGAGAAAUAUCAUUGAGGAAAAGGCUCAGCCUCAAUGUUCAGGUGGAGACCAAGAUGUUGAUUGCAGUUGUAAAUGUGGCCCUGAUGGAGAUAGUGGUACUCAAGGAGGAUCAGGAAAUGACUGCUAAAUCAGGACCGUUCUGGUCCCUAUGAACAUCGUGGUACAGGAAACUUCCAUUCGGGUUAGAAAGAAUAUUCCUGAUAGCACAAUUGGAGGUACUGCUGUUACUUGCUGGAGCCAAAGUCCCUUCUGUUGCAUCUCUUCUUUAUUGUUCUCUGGGUGGACAACUCUGCUUGAUCAGUCUUUUGAUGUGCAAACUUUGGCUAAAAGAUUCAACUAUUUAAUGUCCGUGAAUGCUCGUUUUGAUAUUUUGGUCUGAUGACAUUGCUUGCUUGACUUAAACAAUCAAAUUUGGCCUUACUCUGUCAAGGCUACGAUGGGUAGUGGAUUCUCUUUUGCUUACAAGCUUUAGCAAUUGCAAAUGCAUCUGAGAUUGAUCUUGGUUGACUUCUUCA